UACGGAGGGUGCAAGCGUUAUCCGGAUUCACUGGGUUUAAAGGGUGCGUAGGCGGGUAAUUAAGUCCGUGGUGAAAUCCUGCAGCUUAACUGCAGAACUGCCGUGGAUACUAGUUAUCUUGAAUGUUGUUGAGGUGAGUGGAACAAGUCAUGUAGCGGUGAAAUGCUUAGAGAUGACUUAGAACACCGAUUGCGAAGGCAGCUCACUAAACAAAUAUUGACGCUGAGGCACGAAAGCGUGGGUAGCAAACAGG
RNAcentral lists this ribosomal RNA (253 nucleotides) under uncultured bacterium. Its description in RNAcentral is "partial 16S ribosomal RNA". It matches the Rfam family "Bacterial small subunit ribosomal RNA", at positions 524 to 776 of the family's 1533-position model. The record is from RNAcentral.